Molecule: transfer RNA, 74 nt
Filed under: Deltaproteobacteria bacterium
Lineage: Bacteria; Pseudomonadati; Myxococcota; Myxococcia
Description: tRNA-Gln
Rfam family: tRNA
About the family: Transfer RNA (tRNA) molecules are approximately 80 nucleotides in length.
Source: RNAcentral
UGAGGAGUGGUGUAACGGCAACACGCUUGGCUCUGGACCAAGUAAUCCAGGUUCGAAUCCUGGCUCCUCAGCCA